Molecule: non-coding RNA, 389 nt
Organism: Phoenix dactylifera (date palm)
Lineage: Eukaryota; Viridiplantae; Streptophyta; Magnoliopsida; Arecales; Arecaceae
Source: RefSeq, a predicted model, not a curated record
GUCAAAUGUUUGGAGAGUUCAAAAGGACGAGCUUGGUGAUUCUGCUUCUACUUGUUAACAACUGAUUGCUUAAUUCUGAAGACUUGCAGCUGGCAAUGAGGGUAGGGACUGCUGAAAUUACUUCUGAGCUUUCAUUUCCUAUAAUGCAAGAUGCUCUGGCUUAGUUACCAUCCAGGUGGAACAAUUACCUUGUUGACUUUGGUGACUUGAAGGGACUGCAGCUUUUACCCACGAUCUUGGUUUGGAUACGACACCCAUACAGAAAAUAGAAAAUAUCAGCUCUUUUUAUUUUGGCCGAGAAAAAUAGAUAACCCUGUUAUAUUGAUUUAUAUGAUAUCAAAAAUAUAAUCCAAUAUUUUCCAAUCAAAUUGUAAUUCAUUGAUUUGAUA